This is a long non-coding RNA of Anser brachyrhynchus (Pink-footed goose), 1552 nucleotides long. Lineage: Eukaryota; Metazoa; Chordata; Aves; Anseriformes; Anatidae. The record is from Ensembl.
AGAAAUGUAAAGCCUGAGGAACAAAGGCAGGACUUCUCUUCAGAUCUAAGCACUCCCCAAAGGACUCCCUCCAGGGUCCUUGGCACCCUCCAAACCCUGUCCAGAUCUGGUGCUCUUUGGGGUUAGCUCUGCAGCAGCUCCCCGGGAUAGUGCAAUUUUCAGCAAAGAAAGGAAAAAGAAAAGCUAAAAAUCCCAGUUACUCAUUGCACCAAAAUAAAAACAGAUUCUUUCUCUUUUAACAAAACCUCAUUAUGGUAAACAAAAAAUGAAAGUUUGGGGAGAAAAUGUGCUGCCUGCUGAUAAGAAGUUUUUUAUUAUUAUUAUUAAAACAAAUCUACAAGGCUGGAUUUAAACUUCCCAGCCUUUGCUGCAUUUUCCUUUGCUGCUCCACUCAAGACUGCAUCCACACAGUUUGAACUCCCCAGUCUGAGAAGCUGCAGACGAUUUGCUAAAUAGGCCUUCAAGCUGUGCCCACUCCCUUCUCACCAAUGUCCCCACCCCAUGUUUGUGGGGCAGCGGAGAUCUUAAACAUUCCCACUGGGCUGCUGAUGCUUCCUUCAGAGAUGCCCCGUGCUGUGCGCGCUCACGCACUUGGCACCCAUGUCACGCUCCGGCAGCACCCACUGUGGGCUCCCCUCUCCCCGCUGCCACCCAGAGCUGGACCCAGAUGACUGCUUGCUCUGCCAAAAAGACACGUCCACGGCCAUAGCGUGGGCAGGGCCCAUUUGCUUUCAGGAGGAGCCUUAAAGACAACCUCCGCCUGCAGCACUGAGCUGUGGGGUCCUCAUGGUGCAGCCUGGUGCUGGGGGCUGUGACUGACUUUGGUGUAAGGUCUGAGGUGUGGGUGCCUGCACCCAUCACAAGCCCAAGCGCAGACGAACACAAGGCACAGCAGUGACAGGGGGCAACCAGGUCAACCAGGACAACUUGUGAUGUCAAGGGACAUCACAAACAACAGAAGCUUGAUGUGCAGCCCCCUUUCUCCCACUGCCUUGAACGUGGUGGCCACAGCCCAAGCAGCAAACGUCACCCACGAGGCAGCUGUGCUGUGCCAGGGGACUGUGCCUGGGGCAGUCCAGCUGGUCAUAGGUUCACAGCACUUUUGGCUCUGGAGCUGGGCAGUGCCACUCUCUACUGGGAUGCAAAAAACCCCAUGCGCUCUGACAGCCCUUCCUGAAGCCCAUCAGCAUCUCCUCGCCAGGGUUUUGGGCUGCACGGACCCAAGUCCAGAAGUCCUUCCUCGCUGCCCUAGGAGACAUUUCCCUCUCCCACAUUAGCAAGUUUCCUUUUGCAAGACCAGAGCCAUUUCCAGUCCAUCCCAGCUCUGCAAGGGUGCUCUGCAGUGUGACAGCUCUCGGGGGGGACAGCCCCAUGGUGGCUUCAGUCCCCCUCACACAGCCCUCCUGUGCCUUCGUGCCCAGCGGUGCUACAGAUGUGCAGCGUCUGUUCUGUGUUCCCUGGGCAGGACGGCAUGAAAAGAGCCAGAUGCUUUGGUUAAAAAAAAAAAUUAAAAAGAAAGAAAAAAAAUAAUAAAAAUCAGUGCCCAAUUUCA